RNAcentral lists this unclassified non-coding RNA (448 nucleotides) under Hevea brasiliensis (rubber tree). The record is from RNAcentral. Lineage: Eukaryota; Viridiplantae; Streptophyta; Magnoliopsida; Malpighiales; Euphorbiaceae.
GAUUCAAAGUGGUUUCCUCGAAUUAGGAAUUAGAUCUGUACUGGAUUUGGAUUUCAAUUGAUAAGCUUCGGUAGCCAAAUCGGUCAAGCUUUUAAAAUCGGUUCAUUUUGUACAGUGUUACCUCAACGAAGUACUUUUGGUGAAACGGAAGCUAAGUUUCUGCUCAAGGCUCAUGUAAUAAGCUACCUGCCAAGUAGUGAAAAGUGUAGACCAAUUAGUUCAUAAUCGAGUUUUACCCACGUGUGAAAGAGUGGGUGCACGUGUACCCAUUAACACAUGUAUAUACUUAAUUAAGGAACAUAUAAUUAAAUGUGCACUCCUAAACACAUAAGUUGAGUUGUUGCAUUGGUCCAACACUGUUCGUUGCGCUUCUUCGCAAUUCACAAGCACAUAAUUUCUUAUAGUUUAGUGAUCUUUUAUAAUAUUUAUUCGUUUAAAGUAAUGUAGG